This is a non-coding RNA of Delphinapterus leucas (beluga whale), 1922 nucleotides long. The record is from RefSeq and is a predicted model, not a curated record. Lineage: Eukaryota; Metazoa; Chordata; Mammalia; Artiodactyla; Monodontidae.
UGUUGUGAGGAAAAACUGCUCAAGAAAAAAAAUUUUUAAGCUCAAUUAUGUAGGCUCACGAGGUUUAUAUCAUUUCGACAUGCUUUGAACCUCCCAACUGUGUGUACACACGGAGGAAAGGUCCUGUGGGGAUACAACAAGAAGACAGUCAUCUGCGAGCUAGGAAGAGCGCUCUCACCAGAAACCAAAUCGGCUGGAACCUUAAUCUUGGACUUCAAGCCUCCAAACUUUUUGUAGGUGAAGUCCGAAGGGACACUGGAGCAUGCGCACAAGCAGAGGCGUGGCACUGAACGCAGCGUACGUACAGGAGGGGCGAGGCCCUCGCGGCCCCGAGCGGCGGACCAGGCACGCCCAGCGUUCAUGCGCCUUGGGCCAGUCCGGGCGCCCGGGGGUUCAGAGGAGGCAGCUGAGGCUGGAACCUGGCUCCGCACUGAUGGGGCCCAUGAAUGCAGCAGCAGUGGCCGCCGCAGCACCCUGACUCCCAGGAGAGAGGAGGGCUCCACUUGGGAGCAGCAGCACGACAGCGUGGGAGGCCUGCUUGCCUGUCGUUCCCGUGGCCAGUCUACUUCCUGUGGCGUCUGCAAAUGUAUUAACUUUCAGGCCUGAGCAUUGGGACAGGACCUGCUGGCACUCAGGAACUGCAAUCCCAGAAAAAUCCGAAAUUCAAGUGAGCCUAAUACAAGCCGAAAAUUCAGCUGUUAACCGCAGCACUAGUCGAAGCAAAGGCAAGUCCAGAGUGAGGAGGAAGAAUUUUGGUCUGUAUGGAAACAAUCAGAUUCCUUUCUUCCCUUGAGAGUGGAUGCGUAAUUAAAAAUAGGACGUAAUUACUGCCCUUCUGUAUUUGAAAGAAAACUGAACGAGGAAAAGGCAGCUGGAAGAAUUAAACCACAGGUGAAGGCAACUUUGCAACUUGGGAGGGGAAACUCUUUUCUCCCACCCUAAAUAUGUACUUCUACUGAAUAUGUGACUUAGUUCUAGCCAAUCAGAGUCCUUCCCUGAAAUUUUUCUGAGCGGGCUUAUCGGAAAAUUUUAAAUUGUUCUCAGCAUUGUAAGAUUGCGCGACCCUGGAGCUAUCUGCUGCCACGUUGACUGUCGUGGAAAAGUCUGUGAGAAAGAAAGAGGCGAACACUCAGAGAUAGCAGUGUCAGUUCUGACACUAUCCUGCCCCAGGGAUCCAGUCAUGCCUGAAGUUGGAUCCACAUCUCUGUGGUUUGGAUACUUAGAUUGUCCCUCGUCUAAAGAUAAGAAUUAUAUUUGUCAUUUUAUCCACUGUCUGAUAUGAAUGGAGUCGUCAAAUUGGAAAGAGGUAUGAUUGGGAAAGAUUCUUUAGAUUUUUAUCUUACAAAAAUAAUGGAAAAUCAUCAUGUCAGUUGGAUAUCGUGACUGGAUACUGCCUAAAGAUCAAUAAACUUUUGAAGAUGGAUGUCUGAAGAUUUCAGGAUGUGGUCCCUGCAGUCAUUAGCCAGUGUAUUUUCUGAAAAGGAGAAGACUUGGCGGAAUACUUGGCAGCAGAGAGGUGGUAACAGAUGGUGAUGUGGUAUGCCUUAGAAGAGGAGAGAGUCACCCAUUCCAGUUCCCAAGACUCCCAGGGAGGAGGUUAGGAGAUGCACCACUCUGCGGUGGGGGGUAGGGUUGGGGGACACUGGUACAUGGACUAAUUGAGAGAGACUAAAGGGAGACCAGGGGGCCCCUCUUUGAGGGCCCCAGGGGCUGAGGAAAUUGAGAGAAAGUUGAAAUCUUUCCCAAGAGAGCCAUGCACAGAAUCUCUAUGGAGACUGUUAUAUCAGCAUAGUAGAGAUUCCGGACCUGAGCCUAAGACCUUGGUUGCCUCCCCACCACGAGCAGGUGACCAAUUACUCCACAAGAUCUUUGCCUCUCCUGUUUCUCCUUUCGACCUCCCAAAUCGGAGGAACUGAUUGUUG